Molecule: RNA transcript, 2459 nt
Organism: Athalia rosae (coleseed sawfly)
Lineage: Eukaryota; Metazoa; Arthropoda; Insecta; Hymenoptera; Athaliidae
Exons: 5
Source: RefSeq, a predicted model, not a curated record
GUAGACGGUCCAGUCGCAAAUUUUGUGUUUGUCGCCCUGACACGCCCACUAAAUCUUGACAGCUGACUAAAGAAUCGUAUUCAAAAUUCCACGCAAACACGAUCAUUUAUUUAUCAUGUCCUUUCAACACGUUUUUGUUGCUAUUUUUGUUGUCCUUGUACUGAAAUUGCUUUACUUCAAUAACGAACAAGUUUUGACAGCGGUGUUCGGACGAGCUCUUAUGAAAAUUAAUUUCAACGAAGAACUCCUAUUUCAAGUUUUCACAAAAGUCUCCAAAAAAUUUAUAAAAAUAUGCUCAUCCCUAGUAAUAUUAACCGGUUCAAUGAUAGAGAAUUUGUCCGAAUAAACGUUCCACAAGUUCGAUUUUGUUCAUCACAUUUGGGAAUAUCAAACGGAUUUCGACAAAGAACCGAUUCUCGACCCAUUCUAAAAUUUGCAGGGGUUAAAGUAGAGGGAAUCAACUAAUUAUUGAGGUUUCAAAAAAAUGGUAAACAUGGAAACUUUUGAAAAAAGUUAAAUUCAUUUAUUCAAUACGUGGUUUUUGGAAAUUUUCACUUUUCGGAUUGACAAGUUGUCUGAGCAUGGUUUCUGAGACCCCUCAGGAGAUCGGAGAAGUGUUUUAUCAAGUUCAAAAAAUAUUUUGGUGGAAGUGUUCCAUAUAACGUGGAAUGCCCCGAAUGCAAUAUUCGCUAACUUUUCGAUCCGAAUCGUUAUGUCGCCCAGAAACACGUACGCUGCGAAGAUUGGAUUGCUCAAAUGUAUCCAUGAAUACAUAUCUGUAUGUAUAAUAAUAUAUAUUUGAUACGAAUUACGCAGUUCCAGAACCAUUAAAAUUCAAACGACGAUCACACCGGUAUUUGUUAUUUGACAGAUUUCGGUCAUUUUCACGCGUUCAUAUUGACAGCUGCACACGUAUAAGUUGACAAUCGAAAAUCGAAGACUCGUGGGAGACUAAAUCUCCCCAAAUGUCCUCUGACCGCUAGAAUAUCUGCUGCUGCUGCUGCAGCUGCAGGGCAUAUUCAUGCAUAUAUACACAUCUAUACAAAUAUAUGACACAUAAUACAGUUAUAUACAUAUAUAGAUGUAUGUAUACAUAUAGACACGCAUGUUGUAUCAGCGAUAUGUUAUUAGUUACGCAAUGUAAUAGAGUGAAGUAUGGUCUACCUUGGAUGUAGCCACGUUAUGGGAUAAUUAUUAUUAAUGAUCGGAACCAUGAAUGUGCCCAAUGUAUAUAAUGACGUCUACCGUGGUGACCGUAUAACGCUACAUUACAUAUGCUCGAAUAAGAUGAAUAUAAUAACUUCAUAAUACUUUCGGGUAUCGAAUGCCAUUCAAUUAUGCGAAGUGCAUCUGGAUAAAGUGUAUUGGAUUUCAAUUCACAGGUUUUGUAUUACGAAUGAAGCGGUUGAAUAUAGUUUUAAAAAGUAAGGCGAAAUGAAACUAGAUAAAGUUCAAUCCUGAGGGUACUUAAUCGCAUUCUAUAACUGUUAUGAUGAUCUAACAUUUCAGGGUGCAUGUGUUAUUGAGUUUCAAAGUGCUAUCGAGUGAAUUCACGGCUUAUCGUUCAUUAGUGGAUAGGCAACUCUGCAGAGCAAGCGCCGCGGUGUUUCAGAGGUAGUGGUUACGUGCAUUUACUCCAGCACAUUGGUAUUGACUAACUUAUACGGUUGGAUCAGCAUAAUAACUCUAGGUUAUUGCAGAGUACACCGCACCGUAUGAUUCUGCUCGUGAUCCCUUUACCACCAUACGUGCAAAUGCAUCUAGGGUAUCCACUCCAUGCACGGUAUAUAUUUAACGGUGUAUCGCGUGGCCGACGCUUUUAACCGUCCAUUCUAUCGACGACCCACAAACCUGUCGUCGAAGGGGUUAACACGACGAUCCUACCCAAGGGAUCACUGAUGACGAAUACGCUAGAAUCUAAAAUCUAACCCUGUGCUACUGGAUCAUGCGCGCUAUUCCACUCUAUUCCUGUACACAUUGUGGUAAUGUCAUUACCAACGAGGAUCUGCAUUAUUCUACAGUACGCAUCGUGCGUAGGACAACACUGCAUUUCGAAUCCUUGCAGAAUAAAUAUACGACAAUCCUAGACCCCUUGGAUAUUGGAUGUUGGAUUUAUUGCUUUGGUUUUCCGUCUUGGAUGGUACGGCAGUUCGGCUUCAGCGACAGCGGCGGCGACAUCGGGAGCGACAUCAGUUCUACUAGUCCCUAUUCUGUGUCAGUAGCAAUGCAGGUUCCUCAGAGUAACGACGAAGAGAGAGAACGAUGACCAUUGCGCGAUGGAACCAAAUCAGGGCAUCACCGAGUCUUCUCGAUGAGAUACAUCGCUUCGUCUUCACCCAGUCGAGAUGGAUCUGCAACACAUGAGACUUACAACUCCUUUUCUGCAGAGGUUGCAGUUCCUCCAACAUCAUUGCCCGGACUUCCCCUGUUCAUCAGGGGGAGUCCACUGACCCGUCCCC